Molecule: ribosomal RNA, 497 nt
Filed under: uncultured bacterium
Lineage: Bacteria
Description: partial 16S ribosomal RNA
Rfam family: Bacterial small subunit ribosomal RNA
Source: RNAcentral
GAUGAACGCUGGCGGCGUGCCUAAUACAUGCAAGUCGAGCGAACGGACGAGAAGCUUGCUUCUCUGAUGUUAGCGGCGGACGGGUGAGUAACACGUGGAUAACCUACCUAUAAGACUGGGAUAACUUCGGGAAACCGGAGCUAAUACCGGAUGAUAUUUUGAACCGCAUGGUUCAAAAGUGAAAGACGGUCUUGCUGUCACUUAUAGAUGGAUCCGCGCUGCAUUAGCUAGUUGGUAAGGUAACGGCUUACCAAGGCAACGAUGCAUAGCCGACCUGAGAGGGUGAUCGGCCACACUGGAGCUGAGACACGGUCCAGACUCCUACGGGAGGCAGCAGUAGGGAAUCUUCCGCAAUGGGCGAAAGCCUGACGGAGCAACGCCGCGUGAGUGAUGAAGGUCUUCGGAUCGUAAAACUCUGUUAUUAGGGAAGAACAUAUGUGUAAGUAACUGUGCACAUCUUGACGGUACCUAAUCAGAAAGCCACGGCUAACUACGUA